Molecule: non-coding RNA, 31 nt
Filed under: Rattus norvegicus (Norway rat)
Lineage: Eukaryota; Metazoa; Chordata; Mammalia; Rodentia; Muridae
Source: RNAcentral
CUGAGGAAUUGCCUCUUGGAUUGGCCUGAGU